GCCUCAUAUAAGGUAAAAGAAAAGUCUUUGCUCCCCAAGCCGGCCAUGCUUCAAAAAGGAGCCACACUCCGGGAACCCCCUUCAGACGGUGGAGCGCACAGCGUCCAUGAGCAGGGACCACCUCUCUGCAUCUCUACCCAUCCCGACACCAAACACCCAUCCACCCUCCCACCCAACCAAAUCGGCCAGGACCAGUGUAGACGAUCCUUCUUCUUCAAAACACAGACUGUGAGUCUGCAGCGGGGAAACACAACAUGGACAGUUGACACAACAUGCUUCAGGUUUAAUAGCUGCAGGUCAGACCGGCUGGCUCGGGGACAAACUGAGGAAUUCAUCUGAAUUAAUCCUCCCAUGUACUCAACAGGACGUAGGAGGUCGUGGUCCAUGUUGAUCAAAGAUGGAGGGGGAAGGGAAAGGCACCGUGUCACGUUCAGCCCAACAGCUGCCUGGUGGAAUCCAGCUCUGAUUCUGAGCCUCUGAAUCCACAAAUUUUGUAAUUGUGUAUAUAAUUACAACACAUGUAUUGUUUUAUAUAUGUGUUAUUUGCGGUUUGGUUUGCAAUAUGUCUAUUUGCAACUGUAAAAAUGACCUGUAAACAUGCUGCUUCAGGUCUUUUGUUUGCGGAUUGCGGUUCAGCAAUAAAAGUCUGAGUCAUGAUUCUCAGUUCACACAACAUGAAAAUCUCAAUAGACUAGUACACGUGUCUAAAGGCAUUAGAGGAAUAAUAAAAAUGCUGUUUUAGAAAUGGUUAUUGUGAUCAGCAAGUACAGAUCAGUACAUCUAAGUUUAGCUGAGUGCAGUAACAUGUUUAGACUUGAGUUAGAUGGAAUGUCUGAAUUUAAUCAAAAUCAAACAUUUAAUCAGGUUAUGGACAGAUUUUGAAGGUGGAGUUUGGUUACUUUUAUAUGACUUGUUGUUGUAUAAAACACACUGAAAUGUGAUUAAAUAAAGUUGACUAAAUGCUAGUACAAACUCUGACCUACAUGUUAUACAAAUCUCUCCAUUCUGGCUCAGACUUGCACAUAUGACGCAGAGAAAGAGAUCUACAGGGUGGAGGGACUUGCAUGGCUGGUAAUGCCGUGGCAAUGUGACGCACACAACUGAUUAAUCUGAUCAGAGCACACCUGGCAUGCCAAGGUGUGUUCUUCCUCUUCCCUCCAUUUUUCUCAUUCAAAUGCCAACGUUUCCAAGGCCAAACGUCUUUAGCCAUCUGCUUAACCAAGACCACACACUGCCAUUCCAUUUGGAGUGAGAAUUCCAGUGAUUUGCCACACUGUCCGCCAUGUGCUGGGUAAGACAAGCAGUAUUGAGUGCUCUGUGUGUGUAUUUAGUAACACAUCACAAAAAAAAAACAAAAAAAACACUUAGGUUAAGAGGCAAUUAAUCAGCAACCAAGGGCAAACUAAUGUAUAUUCUGAGAAUGUUUUUCAAACAUUAUAUUAUAGUUGUUUAAUUUAAAAUGUUUUUAAAAUGUGAAAAAAACUUGGAACAUUGUUUUAAUGUAAGCAUAAUGUCUUUCAACUUAAUUUUAAC
Cyprinus carpio carpio is the source of this 1533-nucleotide long non-coding RNA. NCBI's taxonomy places the organism in Eukaryota, Metazoa, Chordata, Actinopteri, Cypriniformes, Cyprinidae. The record is from Ensembl.